UGCAAUGGUGCGAUCUCGGCUCACUGCA
Molecule: non-coding RNA, 28 nt
Filed under: Homo sapiens (human)
Lineage: Eukaryota; Metazoa; Chordata; Mammalia; Primates; Hominidae
Source: RNAcentral